CGUGCGCAAAUUCUUCCGCGCCAUCAUCGACGGCGUCACCCACGUCGCCCGCGCUCUGCGCAACGUUUGGCUCUGGCUCAGCAACGUGGGCGACGUCUGCAACCGAGAGAUGGGGACCCCCUUCCAGCGCUGCCUGCGCGUCUUCGCCGACGCCAAGGACAACUGCGAGCGCGCGCUCUCCUUCCUCUUCUUCCUCUGCUACAUCAUCAUCACCUUCAGACCCCUCUGCGGCCUCGCCAGCCUCGGACUCCUCUUCUGCAUCGUCCCCAUGUACGUCCAGUCCUUCCUCAGGAGGG
This is a long non-coding RNA of Lagopus leucura (white-tailed ptarmigan), 296 nucleotides long. RefSeq lists it as uncharacterized. The transcript is spliced from 3 exons. The record is from RefSeq and is a predicted model, not a curated record. NCBI's taxonomy places the organism in Eukaryota, Metazoa, Chordata, Aves, Galliformes, Phasianidae.